AGUCCGCAUUGCGGUUCGCUUAAUCUGUGCAUUGUGGACACAAAGCGCUCCAGGUUCGCUUUGCCCUUUGCGAUUGUAUUUUAGCCCCCUAGAGUUGCCGUAGACAGAUCACACACGCCUGCGCACUGUAACGCUUGGAAAAACAACACAGAACCAUGGCCGCUAGUGGACGAGGAGUAGUUUGGUACCGAAGAGGAAACCACUGCACUUCUCCAGAUAUGGAACGAAGAACACAUCAAAUGGCAACGCGAGGGGCUUCAUUAGGUCCGCACUGCAGUGCCGC
Molecule: long non-coding RNA, 283 nt
Organism: Sebastes umbrosus (honeycomb rockfish)
Lineage: Eukaryota; Metazoa; Chordata; Actinopteri; Perciformes; Sebastidae
Exons: 2
Source: RefSeq, a predicted model, not a curated record